ACGGGAGGCAGCAGUGGGGAAUAUUGGACAAUGGGGGAAACCCUGAUCCAGCGACGCCGCGUGAGUGAAGAAGUAUUUCGGUAUGUAAAGCUCUAUCAGCAGGGAGAUAAUGACGGUACCUGACUAAGAAGCCCCGGCUAACUACGUGCCAGCAGCCGCGGUAAUACGUAGGGGGCAAGCGUUAUCCGGAUUUACUGGGUGUAAAGGGAGCGUAGACGGAAGGCCAAGUCUGAUGUGAAAGCCCGGGGCUCAACCCCGGGACUGCAUUGGAAACUGGUCAUCUGGAGUGCAGGAGGGGUAAGCGGAAUUCCUAGUGUAGCGGUGAAAUGCGUAGAUAUUAGGAGGAACACCGGUGGCGAAGGCGGCUUACUGGACCGUAACUGACGUUGAGGCUCGAAAGCGUGGGGAGCAAACAGGAUUAGAUACCCUGGUA
RNAcentral lists this ribosomal RNA (433 nucleotides) under uncultured Lachnospiraceae bacterium. RNAcentral describes it as "partial 16S ribosomal RNA". It matches the Rfam family "Bacterial small subunit ribosomal RNA", at positions 341 to 792 of the family's 1533-position model. Lineage: Bacteria; Bacillati; Bacillota; Clostridia; Lachnospirales; Lachnospiraceae. The record is from RNAcentral.